GCUGGGAAACCCCUCCAGAGAAGUCUGGUUUUUUAGGUUGUUUAUCCUUUCUCUGGGUCCCUGCUCCCAGGCAAUCCCAAGGCAGGGAAGGUUCUGCCAGAAGAGGGUCCUGGCCACACUGCUCAUGAUGGUGCCCUUGGUUGGUGCCAAGGACGAGGCCACGAUACAGAAGGCGAGAAAUACAGGCAACCACCCCAGAACAGGAUCCCUGCGGAGAGCACUCCUGAAAUCACAUUCAGGGUCAACCGUUGUGCCACGUGUUUGAAAGACAGAAAACGGUUCAUAAAGUAGGAUCGGCAACUUUCAAACGUAAGCCAGGUGCAAAGAAGACUUACUUAUGACCUGACGGGAAGAGCUAUAUGAUAAAUAAAGAAUAAACACUGGCCGGGCGCCUGCGACCUGCCAGGCCCCAGUCCGACC
Molecule: long non-coding RNA, 420 nt
Organism: Suricata suricatta (meerkat)
Lineage: Eukaryota; Metazoa; Chordata; Mammalia; Carnivora; Herpestidae
Exons: 5
Source: RefSeq, a predicted model, not a curated record